CAGCAGCCGCGGUAAUACGUAGGGUGCGAGCGUUAAUCGGAAUUACUGGGCGUAAAGCGUGCGCAGGCGGUUUUGUAAGACAGGCGUGAAAUCCCCGGGCUCAACCUGGGAAUGGCGCUUGUGACUGCAAAGCUAGAGUGCGGCAGAGGGGGAUGGAAUUCCGCGUGUAGCAGUGAAAUGCGUAGAUAUGCGGAGGAACACCGAUGGCGAAGGCAAUCCCCUGGGCCUGCACUGACGCUCAUGCACGAAAGCGUGGGGAGCAAACAGGAUUAGAUACCCCUGUAGUCCCUGUCUCUUAUAU
Molecule: ribosomal RNA, 301 nt
Filed under: uncultured bacterium
Lineage: Bacteria
Description: partial 16S ribosomal RNA
Rfam family: Bacterial small subunit ribosomal RNA
Source: RNAcentral